RNAcentral lists this ribosomal RNA (474 nucleotides) under Lysinibacillus sp. BW-2-10. RNAcentral describes it as "bacterial SSU rRNA". It matches the Rfam family "Bacterial small subunit ribosomal RNA", at positions 93 to 553 of the family's 1533-position model. The record is from RNAcentral. Lineage: Bacteria; Bacillati; Bacillota; Bacilli; Caryophanales; Bacillaceae.
UAGCGGCGGACGGGUGAGUAACACGUGGGCAACCUGCCCUAUAGUUGGGGAUAACUCCGGGAAACCGGAGCUAAUACCGAAUGAUACAUUUUAUCUCCUGGUGAAAUGUUGAAAGAUGGUUUCGGCUAUCGCUAUAGGAUGGGCCCGCGGCGCAUUAGCUAGUUGGUGAGGUAACGGCUCACCAAGGCGACGAUGCGUAGCCGACCUGAGAGGGUGAUCGGCCACACUGGGACUGAGACACGGCCCAGACUCCUACGGGAGGCAGCAGUAGGGAAUCUUCCACAAUGGACGAAAGUCUGAUGGAGCAACGCCGCGUGAGUGAAGAAGGUUUUCGGAUCGUAAAACUCUGUUGUAAGGGAAGAACAAGUGCAGUAGUAACUGGCUGCACCUUGACGGUACCUUAUUAGAAAGCCACGGCUAACUACGUGCCAGCAGCCGCGGUAAUACGUAGGUGGCAAGCGUUGUCCGGAUUUA